Molecule: RNA transcript, 4422 nt
Organism: Vollenhovia emeryi
Lineage: Eukaryota; Metazoa; Arthropoda; Insecta; Hymenoptera; Formicidae
Gene name: zinc finger protein 628
Exons: 7
Source: RefSeq, a predicted model, not a curated record
UAGUGCGCGGCUCCAUGAGCGGCAUACAAUCUUAACACAUCGUUCUCGCAUCGCUGCAACAUCUGAACGUGAUGUGUGAAGCGGUACCUCGUACUUGGCACAUGAAACCGGAACUUCAUUGCAAUCCCGUGGGAGUUCCGGCGGGCGCCUUGUCACCCCCGGCUACCCUCUCGCCACCCGGCAGCCCCAGCAUAAUCACGCUGCCAUCCUCGCCUUGGAGCCCAGGUGUACCGGGAAGCAGUUCGAGCACCAUCGCCUCCACCAAUGCACCUACGGGCCUUUGUCAACCCGUCCCCGAUCGUUUCAGCGCCUUCACCCUCGUGUCGAAUUACAAUCCCGAUCUGAGACUGCAAGGUCUACCACUCAGCGCUACCGUUGCCGCGCGAGACAUGCGUUGCGGUCUUAUGUACGGCGGCUACGGGGCAUCUGGGGGUGCCUGGUGGGCCCGUCACAUGGGCCUGCUGCUGCCACAUUCUUUGCUCCCGCCUACGAGAAUCCCAUCCCAACAGACGACACCGGUCACGAACUGCUCGCCCGUUCAUUCGGAACCUCUCAGUCCGGCACGUCCCGGAUCACCCCGAAGAUCCACGCCGGAGAAGGCCAAAUUCGAGGAGGAGGUGCCGUUGAACCUCAGCACGAAGCCGAGCGACGUCUCGUCGAGCGUCGGCAGCAGAAAAAGUGAAAUCUGGUCGCCGGGCUCGGUGUGCGAGAGGGAGGCCAGGGAAACGAGAGCACCGUCCUCCAGGAGUCCGUCCUCGACCCCUAUAAUUACGCGGCAAAUUCAUCAUUCACCGCUUACACCGCCCUCCUCGACGGAAAGGACUUUUCAAUGUAAGCAGUGCGGUAAGGCCUUCAAACGGUCAAGCACGCUCAGCACUCACCUGCUGAUCCACUCCGACACGAGGCCUUAUCCCUGUCAAUAUUGUGGCAAGAGGUUUCACCAGAAGUCGGACAUGAAGAAGCACACCUACAUCCACACCGGUGAGAAGCCGCACAAGUGCAUCGUGUGCGGCAAGGCGUUCUCCCAGAGCAGCAACCUGAUCACGCACAUGCGUAAGCACACUGGUUACAAGCCGUUUCAGUGCGGCCUCUGCGACAAGGCGUUCCAGAGGAAGGUCGAUUUACGUAGACACCGGGAAGGCCAGCAUCCGGCGGCGCCGGCGCUCGAUUAUCGCUCGCUGCAGGUGCCACCGCAGCAGCAGCAACACCAGCAGCCAAAUGGCAACCGGCACUCGCCGAUACCCCCGCACUCGGCAUCCUCCGCGGGUUACCACGCGGUGAUAUCUGUGCCCGGCAGUAGCUGAGACCUGUUCAUCUGACAGACGCUUCGUCCGUGAACGCGCACCAAGUCCUCGAACCGAGCGGCUCUAGUGAUGUAUCGAUGGUGUCGACGUCUCGGUAUGUCCGGGAUGUUCGCGAAAGUGUAACGCGAGCCAUCGAAGUAGGAUACGUGCAUCUCGGGACGGAGCGAAAGAAAUCGACGUGUCACGGGAGUGACAUAGGUCGGUCUUAUCUCAAAUACACACAGCCGCGAUUGCACGCGUGAUUGCACGAUACAGAUUCGAGGCGCCGUAAUUCAAGGAUUGUCAGCCGGCGCCGAAGCUCGCUGUCUCGCUUACGCUCAGGUGAGAAACGGAACUGUAAAUAUUUUCCGUCGAAAUCACCACACCGCAAUAUCUCUCCGCCGGAGCUGUAAUUACGGAGCGUGAAGCAACGUAAUCGAACGCAAAGUAUUUACAUAAAUCAGUCGGACGACCGUGUGUUUAAUUAAAAUCCACCCAAUGCCUCGGUAUAUUUCUGACGUAGUUAGAAUUAUUAUUAUAUAAGCUUCGACGCCUAUUACUUCUGACGUCUUCUUCAGCCGAUUCUCUUCAUGUGAUCCGACGGACAUCGCGUUGUCCGAUCAAAAUUAAUCAAGCAUGGCAGAUGAAUGAAUCCAAAAAGAGUUUGAAGUUCACGCAAAUAAGAACAUCUACGAAUGUCUACGAUUCAAUAUCGACUGAUCUCUUUCGCAUGGUCGUAUCUCGCUUUUAUGCAAUUUCUGUUAGUGCUUGAACUUUUUGUGCUUUUUGUGCUUGAACAUUCUUUCUGGACCCGAACGAGCGUUUAACAGCAGAAAUUGCGUAAAAUCGAGAUACGACUUUGCGAAAGAGAUCAGUCGAUAUUGUUGUCUUGAUUGCAAGAUGUACUGAUAAUUGAGAAGACUCAAUUCUUCAUCUUUUGAUUUCUAAAGUGUUUUUCAAGAGACCCGCUUUUAUUAAUAUUACUCCAAUCAGAGUAUAUUAAUGAUUAAAUUUCCAAUAUUUGGAUCGUUAAAAACAAUAACUAUAGUGAUCUGUAAAACUUAACAAAUCGUACAAGAACUGUAUAUAUUUCUCGAGGCACGAUGCAGGAUGUUGUGUGCAUUCGUAAAUUUCUGCUCUUACAAUUGUUAUUUUCAAUAUUUUCAUGCUUACAAUACACGCGCGCCCGCAUACACGCACACACACACACGAGCGAGUGAGAAUUGAAUCAAAAUCGGGAAAAUUUCGAUAUUUUCAUUUGGGCUCCUAAUUUUCCUUGCAACAAAUUUAAGUAAUUCAACUUGAACGGCCUGAAGUUACUAGUGAAAUAAAGUGCCUGAACGUGCCUUUCUUCGGUGUCGUAUAUCCGACUUAUAUUUAUGAAAUAUCACUGCACUCCUACUGUAUUAAAGUCUUUCUUCACCUUUAAAUACAUAAAUAAUAUGUGUGUUUGGUGUACACUUAAGCUUCGUAAUGCAAAUGAUAUCAAAAUUGUUCUAAACACGUUCCUUUAAUUAUAUACUAUUAGUUUUAAUGUAAUGUAACGCGAUAUUUUCUGUGAAUUUCAAGUGAGCAUCUUGGGAGAGAUUCUCUAGAAAAUCAUUAACACAGAUUUCGCAUAAUCAACAAAGUCAUAACUGAUAAUAGAAAAUUUAUUUGUCCAGUGAACUAUUGAGAAGCUAUUCUUUUUACGUGUCAUCUCUAUUAUGCAAUUGAUAUCUGACAGCCAUAAAACAAAAUAACGUUGUGCACAAGAUGUGUCGACAGCUCUGAGUUGAAUAUUGCGAAUAUUAUUUUCUAUCACGUAUCAUAGUCCAUCGAAGCCAAAGUCAUCUUCUUCUUAAAAAUGAUAUGCCGUGUCGGAACGUCAUCGAUUUAACGAGAUAUUUCAUGAUCAAUAUUUUCAAAUUCCUCUACUUAUUAUGUGCGACUUUAAUUGCCCUCGCGCCCUUUAGCAUACUUUUGUAAUUAUCGGUACAAAUAUUAUCGAAUGACGUAUCUUGUAUCGUCGUUAAUUAAGAUAUAUAAUGCUUCCCGCGGGAAGUUAUUGCUGUGAAAGAAAAGCGUGAAUGGAAGUGAUUAUUUUUGUAUCGAUGCAGAGAAAAGCGAAAUGUGUAGCUUAAGUGAUAAGCACGCUGUACUUUAUCUGCACAAAAGGAAAAAAAGGAACCUCGAUGUUACAAUAUACACGAUCGCAGGCCUGCGAUUGCUGUGUGAAAUUUCUAAAAUGUGGCUUUCAAGCACGCGCGAAGAUUUAUGUAAAUAUAGGAUUUCUCCUACCGUAUAUCCGAUUUUUCAAAAUCUCGGAAAAAUUAUCCGUCCCGUCGCGUGAACGUAAGCGAAAGAGAGAUCGCGAGAAAUGACGACGCAAACGAAAUUUGCAUAUCCGGCAACGAAUCAUAGCGGCUAGAGGACCAAAGAUAGCAUAAGCUGGACCUGAUCGGUUGGUAGCGCAAUCGGGUUUUCUCCUUUUUUUUUUGCGGAAUUUAAUUAUAAUAACAUAAACAAAACGAGUUGUCGCACGAGCACGACGAGAUAACUCGCGCGAAAACUCGAGGCUUACCAGAGAUCCCGGUCCUACGUACGUACAGAUUGUAACAUACCAUUAGGAUUAGCUAGUUUAUUCCUUAUGUGCGACGAUUAAGAUUAGUUUAGAUUAAUUGUUCGACAACGACGUUACUUCGCUGGCAAUGAAAAGCCCGCGGCAGAGACCACGAUCGACGAGUCGAAUCGCGCGGAGGCAUCGUUCUCCUGUUUUAAUUAGCAUAUUAAAACGGGUAAAUUAAUUAAUUAGCGAAUACCAUAGCGCGACACGUCUGACACGAGGCUCGUGCUUUAAGCAAUUUUGUGCUAUAUAUAUAUUACGAUUAUAUGAAACUUAUGCGAGAAGGAUCGCGACCGAUAGAUCAGUAAGUAUAGAUAUCUUUCAAGAUAUUCGUGUAUGUAUCUAUCGAGUGUGAAAAGAAAGAAAAACGCGCGUAUGUAUGUCUGAGAGAGAAAGAGAAAGAGAGAGAGAGCGCAAUAGUGAUAAAAGAUUUUGCGAGCAUGAGCGAGCGAUUCAUGUUAAUCGGUAAAAACCAAAAAUAUGUUUAUUAUUGCUAAAGAAGAUAUUGAUCGAAUAAAUUGUUUUUCUUAUAAA